CCAUCAGGCACGGCUGCUCAUACUGCUGGUGGCACAAGUGGCACACAAGGGGGUGGCAGUUGGCGCUGUCCGGAUCGUACAGGUUAUCCAAGGGGGAGAAGAUCCCGCCGGACAUCUGAAAUCAUACGGCGAUUCCCGAUUCCUCCACUGAUCUUCCCGGGACACGUGAAGGUGACGUCGGGCUGGGUGACACCUCCCAUCUCUGCACUAGACGGGCAGCUGCAGGCCUGUGGGUGAGUGUGUGAGGUUUGCAUGAAAACCCCUCAGCCAUCUUGAAGGGCACUACUUUGAAAUCAACUCAAUAAGUCCAAAUGGAAAGAGUCAUAUGGUCACUCUAACAUGCUUAAAAUUGCAAAAGACAUACGACAACAGCAAGGUAGGCAAUCGGCAAAAAGUGCAUUGAACAUAUUCUGUAAAAUGG
Brienomyrus brachyistius is the source of this 421-nucleotide long non-coding RNA. RefSeq lists it as uncharacterized. NCBI's taxonomy places the organism in Eukaryota, Metazoa, Chordata, Actinopteri, Osteoglossiformes, Mormyridae. The record is from RefSeq and is a predicted model, not a curated record. The transcript is spliced from 3 exons.